This 354-nucleotide transfer-messenger RNA is filed under the name Acutalibacteraceae. Its description in RNAcentral is "UBA1425 sp902787275 Standard tmRNA". It matches the Rfam family "transfer-messenger RNA". From Rfam's summary of the family: Bacterial tmRNA, also known as 10Sa RNA or SsrA, is named for its dual tRNA and mRNA-like properties. Its role is to liberate the mRNA from a stalled ribosome. RNAcentral also lists the same sequence under 1 other name. Lineage: Bacteria; Bacillati; Bacillota; Clostridia; Eubacteriales. The record is from RNAcentral.
GGGGAUGAAAGGAUUUCGACGGGGGUUUUGAGGCGUGAUCAGCGAGCAGCGGCGCGGAACCGCUAUAAAAGCCGCAGUUUAUUUCAAAAUAAACGACAACAACACAGUUCUUAAAGCUGCUUAACUUUUAAGCAGCCGUCCUUACCGGGAGGACCGCGGCCCGGAUAAGGGCGUCAUUCAGCGGUGAACGUGUACGAAGGAGCGCCGCGGCCUUCGUCAUGCACGAGCGGCUACCGACCGGAGAAGCGUGUCCGCGCGCGUCUUCGCGGGGGAAUCCCAAAUCACGGACUACGCUCGUAGAACGUUGCGAGGAUGAGCUUUCGGACGCGGUUUCGAUUACCGCCAUCUCCACCA